Dipodomys ordii (Ord's kangaroo rat) is the source of this 65-nucleotide non-coding RNA. NCBI's taxonomy places the organism in Eukaryota, Metazoa, Chordata, Mammalia, Rodentia, Heteromyidae. The record is from Rfam.
GGUGGCUCAGUGGUAGAGCGCUUGCCUUGCAUGUACGAGGCCCUGGGUUCAAUUCCUCAGCACCA